UUUGUUUUACUGCUCUACUCUGAGCUGUCAGCCUGCAGCUAACAUUGUGCCUUUCUGCUCCAAGCAAGAGACUCUCUCAGUAAUUUGGCAUUCCCUGAUUGCCCCAGGGUUUGAGGGACAAAACGACAACAUCAUGGGAGAAAUGCUCAUGGGAGAACAUUGUGGGAGAAAAUACAAAGGGGCUCAUUGCUGGGAGACUAGAUCUCCUGAGAAACUCUCCAGCCCUGUGUUUUAUUCUAUAUUCGCUCCGUUCUCUGAAAAUAAAUCAUGUUUCAGAAGGCUUCAAAGAUUAGACUGUAUACAAGUCUCCCACAGGCCUCAGGGAUAUGGGAAAUAAAGAGGAGAUGUGUCAGCCAGCUUUCUGAUCAGACCAAUCCGUGCUGUGGCUGGAAAUACCAGAGGAGGGGACGUUCCCGUUCUGACAGAAUCAGCUCUGGCGUUGUGGCGAGGUUAUUGAUGAGCACCUGUGAUUUGUCGGCGUUCCCCACGCACACCUACUGGCAAGACCACUUCCCUGUGGGUGCCUUGAGUAACUUGGAGCCACUUGGUCUGAGUCGGUCGCAUCGCACAGCAGCCUUUGGAGCCCUUUAUCCCGGACGCACAGCAGCACGUUCUCGGGCUUGAUGUCUGCGUGGAUGAUCCGGCAGCGCCUGUGCAGGAAGUGCAGCCCUGCCAGCACCUGCGGGAGCCACACAGCACCUCAGGUGCAGUCAUAGGAGAGAUCGUGGCAGAUGACCCCAGGAUGAAAGCUGUGACUUGUUGCCAACACUGCCGUGGUGCCCUCACCCAGUUAGAGUCCAGCUCUCACCUGCUGUAAAGAUUUUUUCACGAAAGGCAAAGGCAAUCCGUGGGCUGCAUAGUUACACAUCAGGCAUCGCAGGGAAGGACCCAGGGCCUCAAAUACCAAGCACGUAUGUGGGAGAGAGUCAUGGAUUCACCAACAGAGAGGAGGUGCCACUACCAGCCUUUUAUCCCUCAGCAGGGCAGCCAAAUAUCUCCCCAGCCAACCUCCCCCCUCCACCACCUUCAUGCGCCCUGGUUUUACAGCAUCCUGUGGCUCCCCAGCGCAAGCCCAAGCUUUGCUGACCCAGCAUCACUCCCAGCAGAAGGAUAUGGAGGCCGUUCUCUCCGAUCAUUCUGAAGUCAUCUAACAAACAGACGAUGUUUUCUCCUGCCCGGUCCUUCUUCCUCAUGCUGCUCACCUGAGGGGGAGGAUUUCAAGAAAGCUGCAAUUAGAGACAUAUACAUACACAAGGACGCCUUGCACCCAUUUUGUCCUGUUCUACAGCCUCUCUCUUCAAGGGGUUGACACUUCAUGAGAAACCCCAUGAAAGCUUCAAACAAACCAGGCUCCAAGCACACAAGCAGGGUCUGUUACCAGAGAACAAAUUUCUGUACGUCAUCUUCCCCUGGACCAGCUGUAACCAUGGGCGAUUUGGGGUUGGUUUUUGUGCAGCUGCCAGAUCUGCAGCAGCACCAGGAGGUGCGUGGAAGCCGUGGGGACCGGGCCGCCUCUUCUGGCAGUGCUGCGGGCACAGACCCUGUGCUGGUGGAAGUGGCCCUGGGAACAGCUACGUCCUGCUGAAUGGAAGGCGUGUCGUUCGGAGAGAAGCAAUAAGAAAUUAAGGCCCAGCUCCUCAGGCUGAGACCUGGAAGAAGGGAUGGUGAGGCUGAUUCUCUGAACUCAGCAGCAAAGCACACAGCCUGUGAAUUUUACAUACGCAUCGGAGGAGAGAGACCUCGUCCUGGGCAGCCUCAGCAAAGCCCUCCCUGCUCUUCAGGACCUUCACAGCUACAUUCUUCUUCUUCCUACAAAACGAACCAUGUCUGUAAGCCAGUGCACGCCAAGGUGGCCUGUGAAAGGGACAAGCCCUGCCCAGGAGAGUGGCCGUCCCUCCCCAGGUGGCGGCCAGCCCCUCACCUCGUGUCCUGGCACAGCCAGACGGUGGCAAAGGCCCCGCAGCCCAGCUCGCGCAGAGCCUGGUAUCGCGUGUUGAACACCUCUCCUUCCCGCACCGGGUGGUGGCCUCCUGUGGGGAGCGUGGCCAGGAGCCGUUACUGAUGGCCUUAACCACCCUCAGACUGACAGGGCAGCUGAGGACAGCGUCCUCCCAGAGGGACAGACGGACGGACGGGUCCCUGUGACCCGUGAAGACCCCGGCACGAUGGCUGCGGUGUGAGGACUGACCUGAGCGCUGUGCUGCUGGCUCCUCCUCCUGCACCCGCACCUCCAUGGCGGUGUUCCUGCAGGUCCUGGCAAGAGGGGACAGAACCAGUGGUGCAGUGUCUUGCAGGUUAGUCCUUUAAAGAGAGUUAGAGACCAGGCAGCUGCACACGUUGAUCUGCACAGCUCCCGUUUGCUCUUCUAUCCCUGCUCCCCAUUUCUGCUUGAUCCAAACCUGGAACUGGGCUGUUGGGAACAUUUUGGGCACCUCAGCGAGGUAGGGAUUAUUUUAGGAUUAUUUUAGGAGUUCAGGGGAGGAAAGCUGAUGGGCUGGGGCUGGACUCCUGCCUCUCAGGUGGGAAUCUAAGGGUUCCCUGUGCCCCGCGUGGAUUCCCAGUGGCUCAGGGGGACCAUGGGGCCCCUCCGUGGCUGUGACACCGGCCUGUGCAGAAGGCCAGCCUCCAUAUGCACCCCAUCUCGGGGCUUUCACUUGCAGGAGGAGCUUCGCAUCCCAGGUAGGUGCUAAGCAGAGCCUGUGUUUCAAAUGCUGCCCUGCACAUCUGUCUGCAGCCUGGGGCCAGAGCAGGGCUUUAUCACUGACCAUCCCGUGACCCCCUACAGAGAGGCCAUAGCGGAGGGGAGAGGCUGUUCCCCGGCGUGUUUCUAUGGCAGCAGAAGGUACAAACACAGGCAGCGCAGACAGACAGAUGCAACUGCUGCUCCCCCAGCCCCGCAGCACCGGUGUGGAAUUGGCUUCAGCACUGGUCACCUGAAAUAGCACCCCCCAGCCCCACGUUGCUAAUGGAAAUGUGGAUUUACACUGCCACGGGCUGGGUGCUCCCAACCCAGCGUUCCAUAAUUCGGAAAUGUCACUUGCUGUAAGCUUCACAUGAACUCGCGUUGCCAGAGCUUGUGACAGGUGAUAAUAACCCAAGUAGGCCAUUAGCAGGGGUAGAAAUAUCGACCUUUAAAUCCUUCAGAAUCAGGUUGCCAAACUCAGAGCUUGUCUGCACCGGAGGAAUUUCAGAAACAGGCCCAAUGGGCUGGCAAUGAUGGUGCGUGCCCUGUCACACGCCUCAUGGCAGCAGCCACAUGACUGGGAGCUGCCCCGGGACAGUAACAUCUUCCAGGUGCUGGAACAGAAGCACGACUUCCUCAAAAGCCUAGAAUUUCUUUCCAUACACUGACAACCCUAUCCCAGUACAGCAACGGAGCCAUUGCCUGCCUUUGGGCACCAAGCGAGCUCCCAGCACAUUUCUAAUUAAGGCUCAGACUGGGCUGAAGGCUGCUCGUGUGGUCAGGGAUACCCAGAACUUCCAGAGCUGAUACUGCUCCAUUUACCCUCGCCCAUGGAGUGGUGUGCAAGGGACUCAGAAUGCCUCCAGCUCCAUUACACCUCAGAUUCAGCAUUUACACGUGCUCUGAGUCAGCCUCCUUUAGGCACAAAUCUGCAGGAUACCGCAUGUCCGCAUAGCCACUUUGUCAAAUAUUUACCAGAGUUCGAGCUGUGCAACAGAGGUGAGGCCAGAACUGUCCUCACCUGUGCACAGACAGCCUAGCAGUAACCCUGCACGCCCCUGCACCACCAGGUACACCCAAGACCUCUCAAUUCGCAUCUUCCAAGGUUUUGGCACAUCAUUAGGACAGUGCACAUCGGUCUGAGAGCUGGGCAACAGCCCUAAAGAUUUUAUUUCUUAUGUCACUCAGCAUCCACCUACCAAAGGAAUAAUUCAAGAACAUGCGGGGAUGAGAGCUCAGCAGCAUCUCCCCUGGAUGGAUUUUUAUGUUAAUAGGAGUUUUGCUUUUGUCAUUAAGAGCUGCAUCAUGCAGAACCCGCUGGGUUGUUGCAGGCCUGGAGCAGGUCAGAAAACUCAGCCUGAAAACCUGCUGCUCUCACCUGCUCUGCGGUAGCUCCAACGGGCAGGGAGGGAGUGGUGGUGCCUCACCUCUGCCUGCACAGCUCCACCUGCAGAGAGGGGUGCAAGGAGCUGCCCCUGCUGCUCACCAUACAUCACAGUGCCUGAAGCUGCAGAGUCCAGCAAUACUCCCUCCAGCUUCUGCACGAGUACAGCCCUGGCUGAGUGCAGCAUCCCCACGAGUCGCGACACACAGCGCAAAUCGCGACACGCAGCACAAAAGCAGCCCCAUGGGCACGCAGGGCUCAGCCCCAAUGCCCUCAGACUCACCGUGAAGCAGCUCAGGAGGCCGGGCACGCCACCCCGCUCGUCAUCUGGCUCGUGCUGGAGCUCCCAAAAGUGAGCUCCCACCUGGUGCUGCUUUCCUUUUAGCCUGUGCUGCCCGGGAGGGGUGUCCUUGAGCAGACCAAGCCCUUCGGCAUCGCUGGCUGGACGUGCUGAGGAGCGGGGCAGGGUAUCGGAUCUCAGCACCGUUUCUGGGAACAACCUUGGCUGCAGGGCAGCAGGAGAGCCGGGACAGCUGCGGUGGGUUUGCUUUACUGCUGCACCUGUCUGCGCAGCCCCUGCCUCGGCCGCCCUGGCAGCAGGUCCAGCAGCCUGCUGCGGCUCCGCGGUCUCCACAGCAACUAUUUAUAGAGGGAAAUCCACAGCUCUGCCGAGAUGGAAACGGGAAAGUCUUCCCCCUCUGCUCCUGAACCCGGAAAACACGAGGCUGCCUGGUGGUUCCCAGAGGGAACACGCUCCCCGAGCCCCCACGUGUGGCACUGCCCACCCAGGGCACCCAGGUACAGCGCGGUGCAGCAGGCACACUCCAGGUGGGGGGACAAGGACACGGCUCCUGCACCAGCGAGGCAGCAUGGCUCUCCACAGAUGCUGCACGAUGGCUUUGGUGCAGGAGCAGCUUCCCCCGGCAGAAGGAAAGGAUUUGGUGCAGAGCAGCCUCGCUGGGCGCCCCAGCAGCCUUGCAGCACUGAGGAGCGGCCACCCGCAGCGAAAGCACUUCGCUAUUUCCCCCCGGCCACCUGCAGCAGAGCUUGGCAGCCCCGGCCGUCCCCCAGCUGGGGCCCUUGUGCUGUGCAGCUCAGGUUUCCUGGCUGAGCCUGCAGAGAGGCAGCCCCAGAGCAAGGGGUUAAUCCUGCCCCGCUGCCAAACCAGGAGCCAGGGCCUCGCUUCUCCCCCUGCCUGUGCCCCUCACCUGCCGCCCCCGGCACUAAAAAUACCAGCGCAGGGGCAGAGACUGCAGCGGGGCUGGGUGCUGAGAGCCAGGGCUGGGGCAGCAGCGAGGGAGAGAGCUCUGCAACCCCUAAAAGGUCAGCAAGAACACAGAUGGAUAGGUGAAGGAGGGACUACAAUGCAGUGACUAUAUAUAUAAUAUAAAUAAAGUUGGAAAGAAGCCGACUAUCUAAAUCUCUGCUAAUAAAGUAAGAGGGGAGGCAGGAUAUAUGGCCCUGAAGCCAGCUAUAGGAGGCCGGGAAGAGCUGUGCAAUUCGCUGACAAAUUAAGAGUCGUUCAGCUAAUUGAGGAGCGCUGGUUUCUGCCUCGCCCUGGUGGACACCAGCGAUGAGCACAGAGCACAGCUCAGGCAGCAUCGCCCCCACCCACCCUAGGAAAGCAGCCAGGCAUUCCCCCAAGGGAUUUCCCCCACUCACACCCCAAAAGGUGAGCACAUUGGGGGCAGCUGCGUCACCGUGCAACACAAGCGGGACACGCAGGUUGUAUAUUAAAAUUUAUUGAAUUAUUGUGUAAGAAUUCUCUUUAUUAAAAUCAUUUGGACUCUAAACUGAUUAUUUACAGACAAAACCUUUUAUAUCACCAAUAGAUUCCUACAUCUCAGAACAGUAUCUACAAACAGUUAUUACACUAUGUAACAAAAUUCAGAUUUUUUUUCAAGCUUUUUAUAUUAAUUAUUAAUUCCAAUUUGAGAAAGACAGUACCUCGGGUGCUCUGAGCAGAACUCAAGGUGUGGCAGGGUAUAAAUGCAGGUCAGGCCAUACCGUAACAGAGACAGACACCACGUCACACGGCUGGGAGAGGGCAGGCACCAGGACAGAGGACCAGGAGAAGAGCUAUGAGAGCAAACCGGGUGUUCAGGAAACCAAAACCAUCGUCCUGACAAGAAAGGCACCAAAAAAGCAGCGUCUCGCUGCGACUGGGGCACACCCUGAAAAAUAAAUGGCAUUCCACCAAAGCAGCGGGAUCCAAGAACCCUUUUAUUUUCUUUAAAAAGAAACUAACCAUCAUUUCUCUGU
Anas platyrhynchos (mallard) is the source of this 6329-nucleotide long non-coding RNA. RefSeq lists it as uncharacterized. Lineage: Eukaryota; Metazoa; Chordata; Aves; Anseriformes; Anatidae. The record is from RefSeq and is a predicted model, not a curated record.